GUGGGGAAUAUUGGACAAUGGGGGGAACCCUGAUCCAGCCAUGCCGCGUGUGUGAAGAAGGCCUUUUGGUUGUAAAGCACUUUAAGCGAGGAGGAGGCUACCGAGAUUAAUACUCUUGGAUAGUGGACGUUACUCGCAGAAUAAGCACCGGCUAACUCUGUGCCAGCAGCCGCGGUAAUACAGAGGGUGCAAGCGUUAAUCGGAUUUACUGGGCGUAAAGCGCGCGUAGGUGGCCAAUUAAGUCAAAUGUGAAAUCCCCGAGCUUAACUUGGGAAUUGCAUUCGAUACUGGUUGGCUAGAGUAUGGGAGAGGAUGGUAGAAUUCCAGGUGUGGCGGUGAAAUGCGUAGAGAUCUGGAGGAAUACCGAUGGCGAAGGCAGCCAUCUGGCCUAAUACUGACACUGAGGUGCGAAAGCAUGGGGAGCAAACAGGAUUAGAUACCCUGGUAGUCC
RNAcentral lists this ribosomal RNA (451 nucleotides) under uncultured bacterium. RNAcentral's name for it is "bacterial SSU rRNA". It matches the Rfam family "Bacterial small subunit ribosomal RNA", at positions 354 to 796 of the family's 1533-position model. The record is from RNAcentral.